UAAUAACCACUAGCUAUGAUAGAGGUUUCCU
This 31-nucleotide non-coding RNA is filed under the name Mus musculus (house mouse). The record is from RNAcentral. Lineage: Eukaryota; Metazoa; Chordata; Mammalia; Rodentia; Muridae.